GUAGGUGAACCUGCGGAAGGAUCAUUAACACUUUGAUUUUGUCAAUUUUUAUUUUUGACAAUCUUACUACCCACCUUUUGGAUGAACUUUAAUGGAUUUGGGGGUGUGUUGUGUUAUUUUUUAACAAAAUAGCAUUGCAUUUUUCCUAUCCACCUUUUUCUCUUUUAACAUUUUUAACCCCAAACACCAAUAUUGCUAUGCAUUGACUGAAAUGUAUUUGUUGCCUUCUUUUUUUAUUGAAAGAUAGCACAAAUCCAAACCAAAAAAAGCUAAGAAACAACUCUUAACAACGGAUAUCUUGGCUCUC
Molecule: unclassified non-coding RNA, 307 nt
Filed under: rhizosphere metagenome
Description: partial ribosomal RNA internal transcribed spacer region
Source: RNAcentral